UUAAAACAUAGCAAUUAAACAAAUGAUCAAAUAUAACAGGACUUAAACAGGGGGGAAGAACACAUCUCAUCUUAUCAGUGAUCAACAAGGUGGUGGUUCAUCACAUGAGACAACUCAAGGUACACUGAUACAAUAGCAAUAACCAGAGAAUGGUUUCUUUUACAGACAAAACUUAAACAGGGGGAACAACACAUCUCAUCAUCUCAUAAUGAGCCUCAAAGCCCCCUGGAUGCACGCUACUGACUCCCUUACCACCCUAAUUAAGCUCCCAACUUAUAUUUACAGGUGCCUCACGAUUCACAAUGGCGGGUGAGAUCUUCUUCAGGUUCGUUGGUUUUAUUCCCAGGUAACAAUAGAGCCACAAACUGGCAUGUCGACGACGACGGCGGAUCGGUACUUACAGUUGACACUCAACAAUGCAGAAGAAGAAGGCGGCGACAAUGGCGCGCCGCCGAGAUCACUGGCCUUCCAGGAGCACCCUGAGGCUAUGGAGCCCCUCGGCCGAGAUGCUCCGCUCGACCCUGCCCGUCCUGUUCACCCUGAUCUGGGGAGGGGCCUCCUGGUGGAACGAGACCAUGACCGCCGUCAGGUUGUCGGUGGCGCCCCGCCGGAUCGCCUCCUCCACGAUCUCCUUGCAGCACCGCCGGAGGUCGUUGUGGUCCUGGAGCCUCCGCCGCGCAAAGUCCACCGAGUUCUGGUUGGAGAAGUAGUCCCAGAUGCCGUCGCUGCCGAUGAUGAGGAACUCGUCGUCCUUGGUCAGCGUGAUCAUCUUGAGCUCCGGCUCGGCGCUCAGCGGGCCUCCGGGCUCGCCCAUCUCCUUGAGGCCAUCGAGAUGCCAGUCGCCGAGCGCUCUGGUGACCGCUAGCUGGCCAUUCAGAUAGCCGUCGUCGACGUAGCCGCCUAGGGAUUCAACUCUCUUUCUUUCAUUCAGGCAGCAGGCCCUGUGGUCCUUGGACAUUUCGAUUGCGGCGCCGCGCCGGGAAAGGACAGCUCGGCAAUCGCCAGCAUUUGCGACCAGAAGAGACCUGCACAAGACAUGCAAACAAUCAGCAUUGCUGGUCACUCAAUAACAGAGCAGCCUGCAGCUAUGGAGUACUGAUGCCAACUCUGAUGAGCCAUACUGGCAUUGGCAUAUUAUAACACAAAGCAUGGUAGCAGUAUCACAAGAGGUCCUAGUGCAAGUGCAGCAAUUUAGAGAAAUUUAAUAACCUUAGUCUAAAGCAUGUUGUGAUUUUUUGAAUUAUGAUGCAUAAGUUUGAAAGCAGCUUUAGGAACAAGUCAACCUACUAGUAUUCUUGCUAAUAAAAGAUAAGAUAAUGGGAGUGGUUCAUUAAUUCCAGCUGCAAUAAGUAAACUAGUGCUAAAUAAUCUGUGCUACUACUUGGCUCUGGAUUUUUCAGGGAAAGGGAAGGGGAGAAACGGAAGCAUUCGCGCAGCACGCAAAGUGUGUGCACGUUUUUUCCUUCUUCUUCUUCUUCUCCUCGACUAAUCGACCAUCCAGACCGAGGCAACAAACACGCACGAAUCAAGGACGAAAGGAGAAAGAAAGACCUCUAUUUUGACCUCAUGUUCUCGCGGCGGACAGAAAAACCACUGAUUUCAGCGAGCGAAAUCCGAACACGAACGAACAUCGCAAGAAACAGAAAAGAAAAACAGAGUCAAAUCGAAUGGGCGUAGAACAGGGGAGGGGAGGGGAGGGAGGGGGUUUACCCACCGCGAAAUCUGCCGGCCUCUCGAUCUGCGCGUCCUCGAAUCCCUCCACGCACAUGUCCGGUUCGCCGCCGCCGGUGAGUUCUUCUUCUUCCCGACCUCUCGCUCUGGCUCCCGCGUUCGCCCUGUUACUCUGCCUCACGAUUGGACUCGAACUGCCGCCGCAGGUUCCGGUGAAGAAGGAUUGAAGGAUUGAAGGGGGAGUGGGACGCGACCGAGACCGGGACGGGCUUGGAAUCGGAGCAGAAGAUUCGCGGGAAUAUCUCUCUAAGCUAGCUCUCUGUUUCGAUCGGGGGUAGGAAAAGGAAGGGAAGGCGGAGGCGGAUGUGGGAUUUGCUGCUGGUUUCUUUCUCUUCUCUCUUCUGUCUUCUCUGUUUACGGAGACGGGGAGGGGAGAGAGGGGAGAGGAGGUAUUUAUCCGAGUCGAGGGACGAGAGGCCGGGGGGAACACGUGCUGGUUAGAGCCCGCGGCGGGCCAUGCGUUUUUUCUUUUUAUUUCUUUUUUUUGCCAUCUCGUUUUAUUUAUUUCUGUUUUUUAAUUACCCCGUGGAGCUCGUUUUUCACUCGGGGGAGAAAAAUGUUUGCCACGCUCAUGCUGUCCAAAACAAGAAGAAAACAUGUUUACCGCGCUCGUUUAUUUUUUUUAUCUAGAGAAGAUGAUUGGUUAGAGCGUAUGGUUUUUGUGCGUAUGGCCACCUAUCUAUGGGUUUCUUAAUUGUGAAGUGAAAUAGGUGUACAAGUUAGAUUAAAUUUGGUUAAUUCUCGCCUAGACCAGAAUUAGCAUAUUCGAAGAAAGAUGUAUUUACGUGCGCGUGUCAUUCAUAAUACCCUAAAUGUAUGUUAAAGAUGAAAAGAGUAUAGAAGCUGUCCACGACAUCGCAUUACGAAUGGUGCCGCCAAGCAUCCACCGGACUAAAAGUAGAUACUGGAUAAACCCUCCACACAAACAACCUUCUAAAGAAGCACCCACAGAUCACCGCAUAACAUGCCCGCCGUGCACGAGGCAUUGCCUUCCUCAUCACUUGAUUGGGCAGGUGGGCUUCAAGAGGAGAUGCAUUGUUGCAGACGGUGUCGUUUCGAUGCCUCCAAAUGUCACAAAUAACGUUCGGUGCAAAGAAACAAAAAUCCUCGGAAGGAUGAGGAUGACCGACGUGGAGUAGUAAUCCUUUCGUGGGUGCCGUCUAGGAUGUGAGAACAGUCUCU
Molecule: long non-coding RNA, 2913 nt
Filed under: Triticum aestivum (bread wheat)
Lineage: Eukaryota; Viridiplantae; Streptophyta; Magnoliopsida; Poales; Poaceae
Description: long non-coding RNA (TAES_LNC013749)
Source: RNAcentral